GUCCCUUUGCUUGUUGGGGCUGCGGCAGAGGUGGUCUUUGUGAGGGAGCAUCUGGUGCUGGCAUCACGGUCCAGUGAGAGCCAGCCGAGGGCCGCAUUAGGAUGAAUGACUGCUUCCUUUCACGCAGCGGGCGAUUUGCAGGAUCUGGAGUUCUGAUGCCACUCUCCAUCUCUGAAGGUCAGGAUCAGAAGAAGUACAAGCCUGUGGGGAUGGCUAUGGAGACCAGGCUCCACUCCAGCCACUGGAGAGACAGGGUGAUUGUGGCUUACCUUUGGCAGGGGUCCCUGGCCACCAUUAUGCCUCCCUGAGUGCUCCAAGGCUUUUUCAUGCCAUUCAGCAAAGAACCCCGUCGGCUGCACACACUAGACACAGCCCGUUCCCCUGUUACCUGCCAGCGCCUCAAGAUUGAUUUAUGCCAGAGAAGUUCUGGGUUGGAGAACUCCCGAAAAGAGCAAGGAUCAAAGCCAUCUAGAUUAAAGGGCUGAUUUGGGAUAAAUGUUAAAAGGCAUAAUGUGAACGCCACGGUUAUUACAAACAAGAAAUCCCGGUCUUACCUUCUGUUCUAUCUUGGACCAGUGAUUUCACUUCCUUUAAAAACAACAACAAAAAGAGCAAAUGUAAUUGAGAGAAGUAAAUUGUUACUUUGGCAAUUAA
Molecule: long non-coding RNA, 654 nt
Organism: Ornithorhynchus anatinus (platypus)
Lineage: Eukaryota; Metazoa; Chordata; Mammalia; Monotremata; Ornithorhynchidae
Exons: 3
Source: RefSeq, a predicted model, not a curated record